AAGCUCGUAGUUGAAUUUCGGGAUUGGCGUGUCGGUCGUGCCUUAAGGGGUAUGAACUGGCGUCGUCGAUUUCUCACCUUCUGGAGAAUCACGAUGCCCUUAAUUGGGUGCCGUGUGGAACCAGGACCUUUACCUUGAAAAAAUUAGAGUGUUUAAAGCAGGCAUUUUUGCUCGAAUACAUUAGCAUGGAAUAAUAAAAUAGGACGGUUGGUUCUAUUUUGUUGGUUUCUAGGAUCACCGUAAUGAUUAAUAGGGAUAGUUGGG
This 264-nucleotide ribosomal RNA is filed under the name Glomus sp. NS04-1. RNAcentral describes it as "partial 18S ribosomal RNA". It matches the Rfam family "Eukaryotic small subunit ribosomal RNA", at positions 624 to 886 of the family's 1831-position model. The record is from RNAcentral. Lineage: Eukaryota; Fungi; Glomeromycota; Glomeromycetes; Glomerales; Glomeraceae.